CGCCAUACUGUUGGAUGGUCACUGCCUCUCUUACGCCACACUUUUGGGUUGAAUGCGUCUCCACUUCCACCAUGGUCAUCUCCUUUCGAGAGUCUAUUUGAUCGUUUCCAUAUUAUUCAGCGCUUCAAUUGUUUGGUUGUGUUUGAUGUGCCCUUACUACCUCUCGUGAAUGUACCAAACUUACUACCUAGUUCGUUGAGUGUUCAUAGGAUACAACAAUGAGCAUAAGAGAUCCUGUUGUUAGGAUCAUGUUGGUCAUUGGUGACUAUUUCUCACGUUAUGACUUUUAGUGAGUCCAGUCCCUUCUACGUGUGACCAUCAUCCCCGACCUUUUCAGUGGAGGAUGUGUUACCUCACUUUUCCCGACACUCCUAUCACUAUCGUUGAGCCCCAAUCCAUUCCUCGUACUGCUCCUGCUUCUCCAAUUAUUAAAGAUUCAGCACCAUCAUCUCCUAUGAUUUCCUCACUUCGCUUAUCACGGGAUUCUAAACUUUCAUCACCGGUGACUUGUCUCCAUAACCUGAGUUUAUCUCGAGGAUUCUUGCUCGUAUUCUUCCACAUUUGACUCACUUUUAUACGCGUCGUUCGUGUGUUGUGGAUGCAUCUACUGAUGUGCCAUCUUCUCCGUCUCGGCCUUCUUAUGGCUUGCGACCUCGUCCACUUUUGCCUGUUGACCGCCUUAGGCUAUGAAACGUUGGCGCUGUUAGGAAGUAUUAGUAUUAGUCUAUUAGUAUUAG
RNAcentral lists this long non-coding RNA (737 nucleotides) under Hordeum vulgare. RNAcentral's name for it is "long non-coding RNA (HVUL_LNC004439)". Lineage: Eukaryota; Viridiplantae; Streptophyta; Magnoliopsida; Poales; Poaceae. The record is from RNAcentral.